UUACCAGGUCACAAAACCUGGCCAUGGCC
This 29-nucleotide small RNA is filed under the name Bombyx mori (domestic silkworm). RNAcentral's name for it is "ovarian small RNA-3940". Lineage: Eukaryota; Metazoa; Arthropoda; Insecta; Lepidoptera; Bombycidae. The record is from RNAcentral.